This 622-nucleotide ribosomal RNA is filed under the name Leptocylindrus sp. RNAcentral's name for it is "partial large subunit ribosomal RNA". It matches the Rfam family "Eukaryotic large subunit ribosomal RNA", at positions 21 to 660 of the family's 3401-position model. Lineage: Eukaryota; Bacillariophyta; Leptocylindrophyceae; Leptocylindrales; Leptocylindraceae. The record is from RNAcentral.
UUUUACCCGCUUGAAAUUAAGCAUAUAAUUAAGCGGUGGAAAAGAAACUAACAAGGAUUCCUCUAGUAAGGGCGACUGAAGCAGGAACAAGCUCGCUUUGAUAAUCUGUGCUUAUUGCACCGAAUUGUGGUUGGAUCUACUUCGUCUUCUGGUACUGAAUAAGUCCGUUGGAAAACGGCAGCUGAGAGGGUGACACUCCCGUCCUUUUCAGGAUCUCGGUUGACUAGCAAGUGAAUCCAUCGAGUCAAGUUGUUUGGGAUUGCAGCUUAAAGCUGGUGGUAAAUUCCAUCUAAAGCUAAAUAUUGGUAGAAGACCGAUAGCAAACAAGUACUGUGAAGGAAAGAUGAAAAGAACUUUGAAAAGAGAGUUAAAGAGUACCUGAAAUUGUUGAAAGGGAAGGGGAUGCAACCAGUGUCAUACUGUGUCAUAUUUCUGGUGUUACUUGUAAUACUGGCGCUGUGGCAUGGUUUGGGUCAGCACGGGUUCGGUCUGUGUGAAACUGUUUCUUAGCAUGUGGCCUCUUAGAGGUGUCUGGCUUUGAUUCUUUAACUCGGACUGGACUGAGGCAGUCUUUAAUGCUCGUGGUGCUGGCGAAAUGGUUUUAUCUCUCCCGUCUUGAAAC